This is a long non-coding RNA of Leptopilina boulardi, 529 nucleotides long. RefSeq lists it as uncharacterized. The record is from RefSeq and is a predicted model, not a curated record. NCBI's taxonomy places the organism in Eukaryota, Metazoa, Arthropoda, Insecta, Hymenoptera, Figitidae. The transcript has 3 exons.
CCACUCAUCGUAAUAAAGAAACUGUUCCGGAUUUCAUAAUUAUAACACCUUCAAUAUAAAAGUUUGAGUGACACGGGGCAAAACCCUAUAUACGUUGUUCCCCUCGUAAUCUGGACCACAGGGAAUACCCGGGGACGAAAUUACAGCCUCACGAAACGCUUUGUAUAUGAGCUUUGGGAUCUUCAUCGAGAACAUAUACUGGCGCGACAUUUAUAUAUAUAUACAUCACCUGUCAAUACCUAUAAAGAACAACCUGAAGGACAGGAAGGAUGUGGACGAAAAAAAGCGGCCCCAGCAUGCUACCGUAUUUUUUCUUACGGAAUAGUAUAACUCCCGAUCUGCGCAGAAGUGCAAUCAAGAGCAGAGAUCUUCGGGAGUGGUCCAUGAAGCGCUCGAGAAGUGGCGAUUUAACUAUAUAUAUAUAUAUAUAUAUCGCCCCAACGUUGGAUUCGCCGAUCGGUGAGUCCUUUCUAACCCUUUUUCUAUAUUGAAGUAGUUCAUGAUUCGAUUUCUUCUAUUCGAAAAUAUA